Molecule: non-coding RNA, 31 nt
Filed under: Homo sapiens (human)
Lineage: Eukaryota; Metazoa; Chordata; Mammalia; Primates; Hominidae
Source: RNAcentral
UGAAUGGGUUUGUGAGAACACGAUUUCCUUC